CCUACAGGCGGCAGCAGUGAGGAAUAUUGGUCAAUGGGCGGGAGCCUGAACCAGCCAAGCCGCGUGAAGGAAGAAGGCGCCAAGCGUCGUAAACUUCUUUUGUCGGGGAACAAAGGGCGCCACGUGUGGCGUUGUGAGUGUACCCGAAGAAAAAGCAUCGGCUAACUCCGGGCCAGCAGCAGCGGUAAUACGGAGGAUGCGAGCGUUAUCCGGAUUUAUGGGGUUAAAGGGGUGCAUAGGCGGUCCGGAAAGUCAGCGGUAAAAGCCCGGGGCUCAACCCCGGCGAGCCGUUGAAACUGUCGGACUAGAGACGGCGAGAGGUACGCGGAAUGCGCGGUGUAGCGGUGAAAUGCAUAGAUAUCGCGCAGAACUCCGAUUGCGAAGGCAGCGUACCGGCGCCGGACUGACGCUGAGGCACGAAAGCGUGGGUAUCGAACAGGAUUAGAUACCCCAGUAGUC
Molecule: ribosomal RNA, 459 nt
Filed under: uncultured bacterium
Lineage: Bacteria
Description: partial 16S ribosomal RNA
Rfam family: Bacterial small subunit ribosomal RNA
Source: RNAcentral